Molecule: ribosomal RNA, 916 nt
Filed under: uncultured bacterium
Lineage: Bacteria
Description: bacterial SSU rRNA
Rfam family: Bacterial small subunit ribosomal RNA
Source: RNAcentral
ACGCUGGCGGCGUGCCUAAUACAUGCAAGUAGAACGCUGAAGGAGGAGCUUGCUUCUCUGGAUGAGUUGCGAACGGGUGAGUAACGCGUAGGUAACCUGCCUGGUAGCGGGGGAUAACUAUUGGAAACGAUAGCUAAUACCGCAUAAAAUUGCUUAUCGCAUGAUAAUUAAUUGAAAGAUGCAAUUGCAUCACUACCAGAUGGACCUGCGUUGUAUUAGCUAGUUGGUGAGGUAACGGCUCACCAAGGCGACGAUACAUAGCCGACCUGAGAGGGUGAUCGGCCACACUGGGACUGAGACACGGCCCAGACUCCUACGGGAGGCAGCAGUAGGGAAUCUUCGGCAAUGGGGGGAACCCUGACCGAGCAACGCCGCGUGAGUGAAGAAGGUUUUCGGAUCGUAAAGCUCUGUUGUAAGAGAAGAACGGGUGUGAGAGUGGAAAGUUCACACUGUGACGGUAUCUUACCAGAAAGGGACGGCUAACUACGUGCCAGCAGCCGCGGUAAUACGUAGGUCCCGAGCGUUGUCCGGAUUUAUUGGGCGUAAAGCGAGCGCAGGCGGUUAGAUAAGUCUGAAGUUAAAGGCUGUGGCUUAACCAUAGUAUGCUUUGGAAACUGUUUAACUUGAGUGCAGAAGGGGAGAGUGGAAUUCCAUGUGUAGCGGUGAAAUGCGUAGAUAUAUGGAGGAACACCGGUGGCGAAAGCGGCUCUCUGGUCUGUAACUGACGCUGAGGCUCGAAAGCGUGGGGAGCAAACAGGAUUAGAUACCCUGGUAGUCCACGCCGUAAACGAUGAGUGCUAGGUGUUAGACCCUUUCCGGGGUUUAGUGCCGUAGCUAACGCAUUAAGCACUCCGCCUGGGGAGUACGACCGCAAGGUUGAAACUCAAAGGAAUUGACGGGGGCCCGCACAAGCGGU